Molecule: ribosomal RNA, 877 nt
Filed under: Perenniporia ochroleuca
Lineage: Eukaryota; Fungi; Basidiomycota; Agaricomycetes; Polyporales; Polyporaceae
Description: eukaryotic LSU rRNA
Rfam family: Eukaryotic large subunit ribosomal RNA
Source: RNAcentral
UGACCUCUGACCUCAAAUCAGGUAGGACUACCCGCUGAACUUAAGCAUAUCAAUAAGCGGAGGAAAAGAAACUAACAAGGAUUCCCCUAGUAACUGCGAGUGAAGCGGGAAAAGCUCAAAUUUAAAAUCUGGCGGUCUUUGGCCGUCCGAGUUGUAGUCUGGAGAAGUGCUUUCCGCGCUGGACCGUGUACAAGUCUCUUGGAACAGAGCGUCAUAGAGGGUGAGAAUCCCGUCUUUGACACGGACUACCAGUGCUUUGUGAUGCGCUCUCAAAGAGUCGAGUUGUUUGGGAAUGCAGCUCAAAAUGGGUGGUGAAUUCCAUCUAAAGCUAAAUAUUGGCGAGAGACCGAUAGCGAACAAGUACCGUGAGGGAAAGAUGAAAAGCACUUUGGAAAGAGAGUUAAACAGUACGUGAAAUUGCUGAAAGGGAAACGCUUGAAGUCAGUCGCGUUGUCCGGAACUCAGCCUUGCUUUUGCUUGGUGCACUUUCUGGAUGACGGGCCAGCAUCGAUUUUGACCGUCGGAAAAGGGCUAGAGUAAUGUGGCACCUUUUGGUGUGUUAUAGACUCUAGUCGCAUACGGCGGUUGGGAUCGAGGACCGCAGCGCGCCGUAAGGCAGGGGUUCGCCCACUUUCGCGCUUAGGAUGCUGGCAUAAUGGCUUUAAACGACCCGUCUUGAAACACGGACCAAGGAGUCUAACAUGCCUGCGAGUGUUUGGGUGGAAAACCCGAGCGCGUAAUGAAAGUGAAAGUUGAGACCUCUGUCGUGGAGGGCAUCGACGCCCGGACCUGACGUUCUCUGAAGGAUCCGCGGUAGAGCAUGUAUGUUGGGACCCGAAAGAUGGUGAACUAUGCCUGAAUAGGGUGAAGCCAGAGG